This 3090-nucleotide ribosomal RNA is filed under the name Salmonella enterica subsp. enterica serovar Typhimurium. RNAcentral's name for it is "23S ribosomal RNA". It matches the Rfam family "Bacterial large subunit ribosomal RNA". The record is from RNAcentral. Lineage: Bacteria; Pseudomonadati; Pseudomonadota; Gammaproteobacteria; Enterobacterales; Enterobacteriaceae.
GGUUAAGCGACUAAGCGUACACGGUGGAUGCCCUGGCAGUCAGAGGCGAUGAAGGGCGUGCUAAUCUGCGAUAAGCGCCGGUAAGGUGAUAUGAACCGUUAUAACCGGCGAUACCCGAAUGGGGAAACCCAGUGUGAUUCGUCACACUAUCAUUAACUGAAUCCAUAGGUUAAUGAGGCGAACCGGGGGAACUGAAACAUCUAAGUACCCCGAGGAAAAGAAAUCAACCGAGAUUCCCCCAGUAGCGGCGAGCGAACGGGGAGGAGCCCAGAGCCUGAAUCAGCAUGUGUGUUAGUGGAAGCGUCUGGAAAGGCGCGCGAUACAGGGUGACAGCCCCGUACACAAAAGCGCAUGUGCUGUGAGCUCGAUGAGUAGGGCGGGACACGUGGUAUCCUGUCUGAAUAUGGGGGGACCAUCCUCCAAGGCUAAAUACUCCUGACUGACCGAUAGUGAACCAGUACCGUGAGGGAAAGGCGAAAAGAACCCCGGCGAGGGGAGUGAAAAAGAACCUGAAACCGUGUACGUACAAGCAGUGGGAGCCCCACCACUAAGCCAGUGGUGAACUCCACAUCCGCAUCCUUUGCUGAGGAUACGGUUAACGGAGCGAAAGCGACGUUCAACCGCAAAACAAGCAGAGGGGGCUUAGUGGUGGGGUGACUGCGUACCUUUUGUAUAAUGGGUCAGCGACUUAUAUUCUGUAGCAAGGUUAACCGAAUAGGGGAGCCGGAGGGAAACCGAGUCUUAAUUGGGCGUUAAGUUGCAGGGUAUAGACCCGAAACCCGGUGAUCUAGCCAUGGGCAGGUUGAAGGUUGGGUAACACUAACUGGAGGACCGAACCGACUAAUGUUGAAAAAUUAGCGGAUGACCUGUGGCUGGGGGUGAAAGGCCAAUCAAACCGGGAGAUAGCUGGUUCUCCCCGAAAGCUAUUUAGGUAGCGCCUCGUGAAUUCAUCUCCGGGGGUAGAGCACUGUUUCGGCUAGGGGGCCAUCCCGGCUUACCAACCCGAUGCAAACUGCGAAUACCGGAGAAUGUUAUCACGGGAGACACACGGCGGGUGCUAACGUCCGUCGUGAAGAGGGAAACAACCCAGACCGCCAGCUAAGGUCCCAAAGUCAUGGUUAAGUGGGAAACGAUGUGGGAAGGCCCAGACAGCCAGGAUGUUGGCUUAGAAGCAGCCAUCAUUUAAAGAAAGCGUAAUAGCUCACUGGUCGAGUCGGCCUGCGCGGAAGAUGUAACGGGGCUAAACCAUGCACCGAAGCUGCGGCAGCGAACGUAUCACCCAAGACAACUUUACGGAGUUGACGAUUGACGGAGCGAAGCGACGUCAAAGCGUUCAUUAAAGUCGAGUUGGCUUAGGGAUACGUUCGUUGGGUAGGGGAGCGUUCUGUAAGCCUGUGAAGGUGUGUCGUGAGGCAUGCUGGAGGUAUCAGAAGUGCGAAUGCUGACAUAAGUAACGAUAAAGCGGGUGAAAAGCCCGCUCGCCGGAAGACCAAGGGUUCCUGUCCAACGUUAAUCGGGGCAGGGUGAGUCGACCCCUAAGGCGAGGCCGAAAGGCGUAGUCGAUGGGAAACGGGUUAAUAUUCCCGUACUUGGUGUUACUGCGAAGGGGGGACGGAGAAGGCUAUGUUGGCCGGGCGACGGUUGUCCCGGUUUAAGCGUGUAGGUGUGUGUUCCAGGUAAAUCCGGUUCACUUUAACACUGAGGCGUGACGACGAGGCACUACGGUGCUGAAGCAACAAAUGCCCUGCUUCCAGGAAAAGCCUCUAAGCAUCAGGUAACAUCAAAUCGUACCCCAAACCGACACAGGUGGUCAGGUAGAGAAUACCAAGGCGCUUGAGAGAACUCGGGUGAAGGAACUAGGCAAAAUGGUGCCGUAACUUCGGGAGAAGGCACGCUGACACGUAGGUGAAGUGAUUUACUCAUGGAGCUGAAGUCAGUCGAAGAUACCAGCUGGCUGCAACUGUUUAUUAAAAACACAGCACUGUGCAAACACGAAAGUGGACGUAUACGGUGUGACGCCUGCCCGGUGCCGGAAGGUUAAUUGAUGGGGUCAGCGCAAGCGAAGCUCCUGAUCGAAGCCCCGGUAAACGGCGGCCGUAACUAUAACGGUCCUAAGGUAGCGAAAUUCCUUGUCGGGUAAGUUCCGACCUGCACGAAUGGCGUAAUGAUGGCCAGGCUGUCUCCACCCGAGACUCAGUGAAAUUGAACUCGCUGUGAAGAUGCAGUGUACCCGCGGCAAGACGGAAAGACCCCGUGAACCUUUACUAUAGCUUGACACUGAACAUUGAGCCUUGAUGUGUAGGAUAGGUGGGAGGCUUUGAAGUGUGGACGCCAGUCUGCAUGGAGCCGACCUUGAAAUACCACCCUUUAAUGUUUGAUGUUCUAACGUGGACCCGUUACCCGGGUUGCGGACAGUGUCUGGUGGGUAGUUUGACUGGGGCGGUCUCCUCCUAAAGAGUAACGGAGGAGCACGAAGGUUGGCUAAUCCUGGUCGGACAUCAGGAGGUUAGUGCAAUGGCAUAAGCCAGCUUGACUGCGAGCGUGACGGCGCGAGCAGGUGCGAAAGCAGGUCAUAGUGAUCCGGUGGUUCUGAAUGGAAGGGCCAUCGCUCAACGGAUAAAAGGUACUCCGGGGAUAACAGGCUGAUACCGCCCAAGAGUUCAUAUCGACGGCGGUGUUUGGCACCUCGAUGUCGGCUCAUCACAUCCUGGGGCUGAAGUAGGUCCCAAGGGUAUGGCUGUUCGCCAUUUAAAGUGGUACGCGAGCUGGGUUUAGAACGUCGUGAGACAGUUCGGUCCCUAUCUGCCGUGGGCGCUGGAGAACUGAGGGGGCUGCUCCUAGUACGAGAGGACCGGAGUGGACGCAUCACUGGUGUUCGGGUUGUCAUGCCAAUGGCACUGCCCGGUAGCUAAAUGCGGAAGAGAUAAGUGCUGAAAGCAUCUAAGCACGAAACUUGCCCCGAGAUGAGUUCUCCCUGAGACUUAGAGUCUCCUGAAGGAACGUUGAAGACGACGACGUUGAUAGGCCGGGUGUGUAAGCGCAGCGAUGCGUUGAGCUAACCGGUACUAAUGAACCGUGAGGCUUAACCUU